UGGGUUGUGGCUCAGUGGUAGAGUGCUUGCCUAGCACAUAUGAGACCCUGAGUUCAAUCCUCAGCACCACAU
Ictidomys tridecemlineatus (thirteen-lined ground squirrel) is the source of this 72-nucleotide non-coding RNA. Lineage: Eukaryota; Metazoa; Chordata; Mammalia; Rodentia; Sciuridae. The record is from Rfam.